Acanthosepion pharaonis is the source of this 114-nucleotide non-coding RNA. The record is from the annotation of a GenBank genome assembly. Lineage: Eukaryota; Metazoa; Mollusca; Cephalopoda; Sepiida; Sepiidae.
UUACGGUGACAUCACGUUGAAAAACUGGUUCUCGUACGAUCACAGAAGUUAAGCAACGUCAACACUGGUUAGUAAGUAGAUGGGUGACCACUUGGGAAUAUCAGGUGCUGUAAU